GACUGUAGGCCAGUGGCAGGGCAUCUGCUUGGCAUGCAGAUGUUGCCAGGUUCGAUUCCUGGCAUCUCCC
This is a non-coding RNA of Podarcis lilfordi (Lilford's wall lizard), 70 nucleotides long. Lineage: Eukaryota; Metazoa; Chordata; Lepidosauria; Squamata; Lacertidae. The record is from the annotation of a GenBank genome assembly.